Molecule: ribosomal RNA, 200 nt
Filed under: uncultured eukaryote
Lineage: Eukaryota
Description: partial 18S ribosomal RNA
Source: RNAcentral
UCCCCAGCAAGGCCUGGAGGGCGCGCCCCUCGUAUACGGCGAGGCGAUGCAAUCUGGCCUCCGAUCGUCGCCGCUGACGGUUCAACGCUGGCUACCAGACAUUGACAGAUCACACAGGCGCCAUCUUCACCUGGGACGAUUCCUCCUCGCUCACCACUGCGAUCGACUUCGUUACUGAGCACCGCGUAGAACUAGCUGAU